AAGAAAAAAAAAAAAAAAACUUAGAUGCUUUGGUUUACAUCACAAUUCAAGAAAAGAAUUUUAUCAUUUCACUCUUUGCUUUCUAGGGUUUGUUUUUGUUCAGAGGUGACAUUUAAUGCUUCAUUGAAUGAUGUGUUGGGGUGUCUGUUGAAAUUAAUUGUGAAGUUUGGAGUGCUAUCAUGAAAUCUUUAUGUGAAGGUAAAUUGCUAUGCCUUGUCUUUUGUGGUAUGCGCUUUGGACUCUAAUCAUGAUGGGUCCAAGUUCGAGCCCUACCCUCCCGUCAUCCAGCGGGUUUGGGAUAGGAUGUAAUAAUCAUUUUUAAAGGAACUUAUCAACACAGAACCUCAUUCUCCCUGAAAUAAAUUCUCUGUCUGUGAUGAUGUCAAUCUGACAGUGAAGAUCCAUUGCUGACACAUUGGCUUUGACAGCAGCUCUAGAACUUCUCUUUUAAGUUUGUUUCUCUUAUUUUCUUAUUUAAUUGAAACAUUUUUUUUUGUUUUUUUUUG
Molecule: non-coding RNA, 506 nt
Organism: Biomphalaria pfeifferi
Lineage: Eukaryota; Metazoa; Mollusca; Gastropoda; Planorbidae
Source: the annotation of a GenBank genome assembly